ACGACGCAUACGCUGACGUUUUGUUAUUAGGCUGGCGCGUGUCCAUUGAUGCUUUAUUAAUUUCGCGUAUAGGUAAUCUAAUUAUUAAUAUCCUCCGCGUCCGUCAAUUUAUUGUUGUGCGCGCGUGUAACGUUUUGUUGUAUAAACGACGAGGAAAAUUAACCCCUCGUGGCAGGAUAACUCAAUAAUUCUGCACUCUUUU
Non-coding RNA from Cinara cedri, 202 nucleotides. The record is from the annotation of a GenBank genome assembly. NCBI's taxonomy places the organism in Eukaryota, Metazoa, Arthropoda, Insecta, Hemiptera, Aphididae.